This 402-nucleotide ribosomal RNA is filed under the name uncultured bacterium. Its description in RNAcentral is "bacterial SSU rRNA". It matches the Rfam family "Bacterial small subunit ribosomal RNA", at positions 355 to 774 of the family's 1533-position model. The record is from RNAcentral.
UGGGGAAUCUUGGACAAUGGGGGCAACCCUGAUCCAGCCAUGCCGCGUGAGUGAAGAAGGCCCUAGGGUCGUAAAGCUCUUUCGCCAGGGAAGAUAAUGACGGUACCUGGUAAAGAAACCCCGGCUAACUCCGUGCCAGCAGCCGCGGUAAUACGGAGGGGGUUAGCGUUGUUCGGAAUUACUGGGCGUAAAGCGCGCGUAGGCGGACCAGAAAGUUGGGGGUGAAAUCCCGGGGCUCAACCCCGGAACUGCCUCCAAAACUGCUGGUCUUGAGUUCGAGAGAGGUGAGUGGAAUUCCGAGUGUAGGGGUGAAAUUCGUAGAUAUUCGGAGGAACACCAGUGGCGAAGGCGGCUCACUGGCUCGAUACUGACGCUGAGGUGCGAAAGUGUGGGGAGCAAACA